UUAAGCGACUAAGCGUACACGGUGGAUGCCCUGGCAGUCAGAGGCGAUGAAGGACGUGCUAAUCUGCGAUAAGCGUCGGUAAGGUGAUAUGAACCGUUAUAACCGGCGAUUUCCGAAUGGGGAAACCCAGUGUGAUUCGUCACACUAUCAUUAACUGAAUCCAUAGGUUAAUGAGGCGAACCGGGGGAACUGAAACAUCUAAGUACCCCGAGGAAAAGAAAUCAACCGAGAUUCCCCCAGUAGCGGCGAGCGAACGGGGAGCAGCCCAGAGCCUGAAUCAGUGUGUGUGUUAGUGGAAGCGUCUGGAAAGGCGCGCGAUACAGGGUGACAGCCCCGUACACAAAAAUGCACAUACUGUGAGCUCGAUGAGUAGGGCGGGACACGUGGUAUCCUGUCUGAAUAUGGGGGGACCAUCCUCCAAGGCUAAAUACUCCUGACUGACCGAUAGUGAACCAGUACCGUGAGGGAAAGGCGAAAAGAACCCCGGCGAGGGGAGUGAAAAAGAACCUGAAACCGUGUACGUACAAGCAGUGGGAGCACAGAGCAAUCUGUGUGACUGCGUACCUUUUGUAUAAUGGGUCAGCGACUUAUAUUCUGUAGCAAGGUUAACCGAAUAGGGGAGCCGAAGGGAAACCGAGUCUUAACCGGGCGUUAAGUUGCAGGGUAUAGACCCGAAACCCGGUGAUCUAGCCAUGGGCAGGUUGAAGGUUGGGUAACACUAACUGGAGGACCGAACCGACUAAUGUUGAAAAAUUAGCGGAUGACUUGUGGCUGGGGGUGAAAGGCCAAUCAAACCGGGAGAUAGCUGGUUCUCCCCGAAAGCUAUUUAGGUAGCGCCUCGUGAAUUCAUCUCCGGGGGUAGAGCACUGUUUCGGCAAGGGGGUCAUCCCGACUUACCAACCCGAUGCAAACUGCGAAUACCGGAGAAUGUUAUCACGGGAGACACACGGCGGGUGCUAACGUCCGUCGUGAAGAGGGAAACAACCCAGACCGCCAGCUAAGGUCCCAAAGUCAUGGUUAAGUGGGAAACGAUGUGGGAAGGCCCAGACAGCCAGGAUGUUGGCUUAGAAGCAGCCAUCAUUUAAAGAAAGCGUAAUAGCUCACUGGUCGAGUCGGCCUGCGCGGAAGAUGUAACGGGGCUAAACCAUGCACCGAAGCUGCGGCAGCGACACUGUGUGUUGUUGGGUAGGGGAGCGUUCUGUAAGCCUGUGAAGGUGUGCUGUGAGGCAUGCUGGAGGUAUCAGAAGUGCGAAUGCUGACAUAAGUAACGAUAAAGCGGGUGAAAAGCCCGCUCGCCGGAAGACCAAGGGUUCCUGUCCAACGUUAAUCGGGGCAGGGUGAGUCGACCCCUAAGGCGAGGCCGAAAGGCGUAGUCGAUGGGAAACAGGUUAAUAUUCCUGUACUUGGUGUUACUGCGAAGGGGGGACGGAGAAGGCUAUGUUGGCCGGGCGACGGUUGUCCCGGUUUAAGCGUGUAGGCUGGUUUUCCAGGCAAAUCCGGAAAAUCAAGGCUGAGGCGUGAUGACGAGGCACUACGGUGCUGAAGCAACAAAUGCCCUGCUUCCAGGAAAAGCCUCUAAGCAUCAGGUAACAUCAAAUCGUACCCCAAACCGACACAGGUGGUCAGGUAGAGAAUACCAAGGCGCUUGAGAGAACUCGGGUGAAGGAACUAGGCAAAAUGGUGCCGUAACUUCGGGAGAAGGCACGCUGAUAUGUAGGUGAAGUCCCUCGCGGAUGGAGCUGAAAUCAGUCGAAGAUACCAGCUGGCUGCAACUGUUUAUUAAAAACACAGCACUGUGCAAACACGAAAGUGGACGUAUACGGUGUGACGCCUGCCCGGUGCCGGAAGGUUAAUUGAUGGGGUCAGCGCAAGCGAAGCUCUUGAUCGAAGCCCCGGUAAACGGCGGCCGUAACUAUAACGGUCCUAAGGUAGCGAAAUUCCUUGUCGGGUAAGUUCCGACCUGCACGAAUGGCGUAAUGAUGGCCAGGCUGUCUCCACCCGAGACUCAGUGAAAUUGAACUCGCUGUGAAGAUGCAGUGUACCCGCGGCAAGACGGAAAGACCCCGUGAACCUUUACUAUAGCUUGACACUGAACAUUGAGCCUUGAUGUGUAGGAUAGGUGGGAGGCUUUGAAGUGUGGACGCCAGUCUGCAUGGAGCCGACCUUGAAAUACCACCCUUUAAUGUUUGAUGUUCUAACGUGGACCCGUGAUCCGGGUUGCGGACAGUGUCUGGUGGGUAGUUUGACUGGGGCGGUCUCCUCCUAAAGAGUAACGGAGGAGCACGAAGGUUGGCUAAUCCUGGUCGGACAUCAGGAGGUUAGUGCAAUGGCAUAAGCCAGCUUGACUGCGAGCGUGACGGCGCGAGCAGGUGCGAAAGCAGGUCAUAGUGAUCCGGUGGUUCUGAAUGGAAGGGCCAUCGCUCAACGGAUAAAAGGUACUCCGGGGAUAACAGGCUGAUACCGCCCAAGAGUUCAUAUCGACGGCGGUGUUUGGCACCUCGAUGUCGGCUCAUCACAUCCUGGGGCUGAAGUAGGUCCCAAGGGUAUGGCUGUUCGCCAUUUAAAGUGGUACGCGAGCUGGGUUUAGAACGUCGUGAGACAGUUCGGUCCCUAUCUGCCGUGGGCGCUGGAGAACUGAGGGGGGCUGCUCCUAGUACGAGAGGACCGGAGUGGACGCAUCACUGGUGUUCGGGUUGUCAUGCCAAUGGCACUGCCCGGUAGCUAAAUGCGGAAGAGAUAAGUGCUGAAAGCAUCUAAGCACGAAACUUGCCCCGAGAUGAGUUCUCCCUGACCCUUUAAGGGUCCUGAAGGAACGUUGAAGACGACGACGUUGAUAGGCCGGGUGUGUAAGCGCAGCGAUGCGUUGAGCUAACCGGUACUAAUGAACCGUGAGGCUUAACCUU
Molecule: ribosomal RNA, 2903 nt
Filed under: Escherichia coli
Lineage: Bacteria; Pseudomonadati; Pseudomonadota; Gammaproteobacteria; Enterobacterales; Enterobacteriaceae
Description: bacterial LSU rRNA
Rfam family: Bacterial large subunit ribosomal RNA
Source: RNAcentral